UUAUUACCUUCGGGUAAUGAAGGGCGACGAGUGGCGGACGGGUGAGUAACGCAUAGGAAUCUGCCCAGUAGUGGGGGACAACUCCGGGAAACCGGAGCUAAUACCGCAUACGCCCUACGGGGGAAAGCGGGGGAUCUUCGGACCUCGCGCUAUUGGAUGAGCCUAUGUCUGAUUAGCUUGUUGGUAGGGUAACGGCCUACCAAGGCAACGAUCAGUAGCUGGUCUGAGAGGAUGAUCAGCCACACUGCGACUGAGACACGGCGCAGACUCCUACGGGAGGCAGCAGUGGGGAAUAUUGCACAAUGGGCGCAAGCCUGAUGCAGCAAUGCCGCGUGUGUGAAGAAGGCCUGCGGGUUGUAAAGCACUUUCAGUAGCGAAGAAAAGCUCGAGGUUAAUACCUUCGGGUCUUGACGCUAGCUACACAAGAAGCACCGGCUAACUCCGUGCCAGCAGCCGCGGUAAUACGGAGGGUGCGAGCGUUAAUCGGAAUUACUGGGCGUAAAGCGCGCGUAGGCGGUUUGGUAAGUCGGAUGUGAAAUCCCCGGGCUUAACCUGGGAAUUGCAUUCGAUACUGCCUGACUAGAAUGUGAUAGAGGUAAGUGGAAUUCCCGGUGUAGCGGUGAAAUGCGUAUAUAUCGGGAGGAACAUCAGUGGCGAAGGCGGCUUACUGGAUCAACAUUGACGCUGAGGUGCGAAAGCGUGGAGCAAACAGGAUUAGAUACCCUGGUAGUCCACGCCCUAAACGAUGUCAACUAGUCGUUGGGUCCUUAAGGAUUUAGUGCGCAGCUAACGCGA
This 795-nucleotide ribosomal RNA is filed under the name uncultured bacterium. Its description in RNAcentral is "bacterial SSU rRNA". It matches the Rfam family "Bacterial small subunit ribosomal RNA", at positions 71 to 860 of the family's 1533-position model. The record is from RNAcentral.